GACGAACGCUGGCGGCGUGCUUAACACAUGCAAGUCGAACGGAAAGGCCCUGCUUUUGUGGGGUGCUCGAGUGGCGAACGGGUGAGUAACACGUGAGUAACCUGCCCUUGACUUUGGGAUAACUUCAGGAAACUGGGGCUAAUACCGGAUAGGAGCUCCUGCUGCAUGGUGGGGGUUGGAAAGUUUCGGCGGUUGGGGAUGGACUCGCGGCUUAUCAGCUUGUUGGUGGGGUAGGGGCUUACCAAGGCUUUGACGGGUAGCCGGCCUGAGAGGGUGGCCGGCCACAUUGGGACUGAGAUACGGCCCAGACUCCAACGGGAGGCAGCAGGGGGGAAUAUUGCACAAUGGGCGGAAGCCUGAUGCAGCAACGCCGCGUGCGGGAUGACGGCCUUCGGGUUGUAAACCGCUUUCGCCUGUGACGAAGCGUGAGUGACGGUAAUGGGUAAAGAAGCACCGGCUAACUACGUG
This 468-nucleotide ribosomal RNA is filed under the name uncultured bacterium. RNAcentral describes it as "partial 16S ribosomal RNA". It matches the Rfam family "Bacterial small subunit ribosomal RNA", at positions 28 to 507 of the family's 1533-position model. The record is from RNAcentral.